Molecule: ribosomal RNA, 448 nt
Filed under: uncultured bacterium
Lineage: Bacteria
Description: bacterial SSU rRNA
Rfam family: Bacterial small subunit ribosomal RNA
Source: RNAcentral
UGGGGAAUUUUGGACAAUGGGCGAAAGCCUGAUCCAGCAAUGCCGCGUGAGUGAAGAAGGCCCUAGGGUUGUAAAGUCCUUUCGGUGGUGAAGAUAAUGACGGUAACCACAGAAGAAGCCCCGGCUAACUUCGUGCCAGCAGCCGCGGUAAUACGAAGGGGGCUAGCGUUGUUCGGAAUUACUGGGCGUAAAGCGCGCGUAGGCGGCUUUGCAAGCCAGAGGUGAAAUGCCUGAGCUCAACUUAGGAAUUGCCUUUGGGACUGCGAGGCUUCGAGGACUGGAGAGGUGAGUGGAAUUCCCAGUGUAGAGGUGAAAUUCGUAGAUAUUGGGAAGAACACCAGUGGCGAAGGCGGCUUACUGGUCCGACACUGACGCUGAGGCGCGAAAGCGUGGGGAGCAAACAGGAUUAGAUACCCAAGUAGUCCCUGAGCGGGCUGGCAAGGCGCAU